AUGCUGCACUGCCAGCACUGAGCAACAGUUAAGCCAAGGCUACCUCAAGAACUCAAGACACACAAGAAGUAAAGUAACUGUACUGAAUUCCAAAGACUGGGGUAGACCUCUUUCUUAAUGUCCAGUGUCCUUUGUCAUAAGAUGUGGUGCAAUAAGU
Molecule: small nucleolar RNA, 157 nt
Organism: Grammomys surdaster
Lineage: Eukaryota; Metazoa; Chordata; Mammalia; Rodentia; Muridae
Product: small nucleolar RNA SNORA81
Exons: 1
Source: RefSeq, a predicted model, not a curated record